This 423-nucleotide ribosomal RNA is filed under the name uncultured Glomeraceae. RNAcentral describes it as "SSU rRNA". It matches the Rfam family "Eukaryotic small subunit ribosomal RNA", at positions 459 to 886 of the family's 1831-position model. Lineage: Eukaryota; Fungi; Glomeromycota; Glomeromycetes; Glomerales; Glomeraceae. The record is from RNAcentral.
GGGAGGUAGUGACAAUAAAUAACAAUACGGGGUCCUUUAGGGUCUCGUAAUUGGAAUGAGUACAAUUUAAAUCUCUUAACGAGGAACAAUUGGAGGGCAAGUCUGGUGCCAGCAGCCGCGGUAAUUCCAGCUCCAAUAGCGUAUAUUAAAGUUGUUGCAGUUAAAAAGCUCGUAGUUGAAUUUCGGGGUUAGCAGGUUGGUCGUGCCACUGGUAUGAACUGGCCUUGCUGAUUCCUCCCUCUUGAUGAGCCGUAAUGCCAUUAAUUUGGUGUUGCGAGGAAUCAGGACUGUUACUUUGAAAAAAUUAGAGUGUUUAAAGCAGGCAAGCGCUUGAAUACAUUAGCAUGGAAUAAUGAAAUAGGACGUUUGAUCUUAUUUUGUUGGUUUCUAGGAUCGACGUAAUGAUUAAUAGGGAUAGUUGGG